This 771-nucleotide ribosomal RNA is filed under the name uncultured archaeon. RNAcentral describes it as "bacterial SSU rRNA". It matches the Rfam family "Archaeal small subunit ribosomal RNA", at positions 1 to 753 of the family's 1478-position model. The record is from RNAcentral.
UUCCGGUUGAUCCUGCCGGACCCGACUGCUAUCGGAUUGAGAUUUAGCCAUGCGAGUCGAACGUCCCCCUGUUGCGGGGGGCGUGGCGUACGGCUCAGUAACACGUAGUCAACCUGCCCUCGAGACGUGGACAACCCCGGGAAACUGGGAUUAAUUCCAUGAUAAGCCAUCUCAUCUGGAAGGAGAGAUGGCCUAAAGGGGUGAGCGAGCUCCUUUCGUUCAUCUGCUCGAGGAUGGGACUGCGGCCGAUCAGGCUGUUGGCGGGGUAAUGGCCCACCAAACCUGUUACCGGUACGGGCCUUGAGAGAGGGGGCCCGGAGAUGGACACUGAGAGAAGGGUCCAGGUCCUACGGGGCGCAGCAGGCGCGAAACCUUCGCAAUGCGCGAAAGCGUGACGAGGUUAAUCCGAGUGGUUCCCGCUUAGGGGAUCUUUUGCCGGCUGUAAAUAUGCCGGUGAAUAAGGGGAGGGCAAGUCUGGUGUCAGCCGCCGCGGUAAUACCAUCUCCUCGAGUGGUCGGGGCGAUUAUUGGGCCUAAAGCAUCCGUAGCCUGUUCUGUAGGUCUUCUGUUAAAUCCAACGGCUCAACCGUUGGCGGACAGAGGAUACCGCAGACUAUGAGGCGGGAGAGGUGGGCGGUACUCUACCUGUAGGGGUAAAAUCCUUUGAUCCGUAAAAGACCACCAGUGGCGAAGGCGGACCCCAGAACGCACUCGACAGUGAUGCAUGAGAGCUGGCGGAGCGAACCGGAUUAGAUACCGGGUAGUCCAGCCG